RNAcentral lists this ribosomal RNA (2609 nucleotides) under Escherichia coli. Its description in RNAcentral is "partial 23S ribosomal RNA". It matches the Rfam family "Bacterial large subunit ribosomal RNA". The record is from RNAcentral. Lineage: Bacteria; Pseudomonadati; Pseudomonadota; Gammaproteobacteria; Enterobacterales; Enterobacteriaceae.
CAUAGGUUAAUGAGGCGAACCGGGGGAACUGAAACAUCUAAGUACCCCGAGGAAAAGAAAUCAACCGAGAUUCCCCCAGUAGCGGCGAGCGAACGGGGAGCAGCCCAGAGCCUGAAUCAGUGUGUGUGUUAGUGGAAGCGUCUGGAAAGGCGCGCGAUACAGGGUGACAGCCCCGUACACAAAAAUGCACAUACUGUGAGCUCGAUGAGUAGGGCGGGACACGUGGUAUCCUGUCUGAAUAUGGGGGGACCAUCCUCCAAGGCUAAAUACUCCUGACUGACCGAUAGUGAACCAGUACCGUGAGGGAAAGGCGAAAAGAACCCCGGCGAGGGGAGUGAAAAAGAACCUGAAACCGUGUACGUACAAGCAGUGGGAGCCUCUUUAUGGGGUGACUGCGUACCUUUUGUAUAAUGGGUCAGCGACUUAUAUUCUGUAGCAAGGUUAACCGAAUAGGGGAGCCGAAGGGAAACCGAGUCUUAACUGGGCGUUAAGUUGCAGGGUAUAGACCCGAAACCCGGUGAUCUAGCCAUGGGCAGGUUGAAGGUUGGGUAACACUAACUGGAGGACCGAACCGACUAAUGUUGAAAAAUUAGCGGAUGACUUGUGGCUGGGGGUGAAAGGCCAAUCAAACCGGGAGAUAGCUGGUUCUCCCCGAAAGCUAUUUAGGUAGCGCCUCGUGAAUUCAUCUCCGGGGGUAGAGCACUGUUUCGGCAAGGGGGUCAUCCCGACUUACCAACCCGAUGCAAACUGCGAAUACCGGAGAAUGUUAUCACGGGAGACACACGGCGGGUGCUAACGUCCGUCGUGAAGAGGGAAACAACCCAGACCGCCAGCUAAGGUCCCAAAGUCAUGGUUAAGUGGGAAACGAUGUGGGAAGGCCCAGACAGCCAGGAUGUUGGCUUAGAAGCAGCCAUCAUUUAAAGAAAGCGUAAUAGCUCACUGGUCGAGUCGGCCUGCGCGGAAGAUGUAACGGGGCUAAACCAUGCACCGAAGCUGCGGCAGCGACACUAUGUGUUGUUGGGUAGGGGAGCGUUCUGUAAGCCUGUGAAGGUGUGCUGUGAGGUAUGCUGGAGGUAUCAGAAGUGCGAAUGCUGACAUAAGUAACGAUAAAGCGGGUGAAAAGCCCGCUCGCCGGAAGACCAAGGGUUCCUGUCCAACGUUAAUCGGGGCAGGGUGAGUCGACCCCUAAGGCGAGGCCGAAAGGCGUAGUCGAUGGGAAACAGGUUAAUAUUCCUGUACUUGGUGUUACUGCGAAGGGGGGACGGAGAAGGCUAUGUUGGCCGGGCGACGGUUGUCCCGGUUUAAGCGUGUAGGCUGGUUUUCCAGGCAAAUCCGGAAAAUCAAGGCUGAGGCGUGAUGACGAGGCACUACGGUGCUGAAGCAACAAAUGCCCUGCUUCCAGGAAAAGCCUCUAAGCAUCAGGUAACAUCAAAUCGUACCCCAAACCGACACAGGUGGUCAGGUAGAGAAUACCAAGGCGCUUGAGAGAACUCGGGUGAAGGAACUAGGCAAAAUGGUGCCGUAACUUCGGGAGAAGGCACGCUGAUAUGUAGGUGAAGUCCCUUGCGGAUGGAGCUGAAAUCAGUCGAAGAUACCAGCUGGCUGCAACUGUUUAUUAAAAACACAGCACUGUGCAAACACGAAAGUGGACGUAUACGGUGUGACGCCUGCCCGGUGCCGGAAGGUUAAUUGAUGGGGUUAGCGGUAACGCGAAGCUCUUGAUCGAAGCCCCGGUAAACGGCGGCCGUAACUAUAACGGUCCUAAGGUAGCGAAAUUCCUUGUCGGGUAAGUUCCGACCUGCACGAAUGGCGUAAUGAUGGCCAGGCUGUCUCCACCCGAGACUCAGUGAAAUUGAACUCGCUGUGAAGAUGCAGUGUACCCGCGGCAAGACGGAAAGACCCCGUGAACCUUUACUAUAGCUUGACACUGAACAUUGAGCCUUGAUGUGUAGGAUAGGUGGGAGGCUUUGAAGUGUGGACGCCAGUCUGCAUGGAGCCGACCUUGAAAUACCACCCUUUAAUGUUUGAUGUUCUAACGUUGGCCCCUGAUCGGGGUUGCGGACAGUGUCUGGUGGGUAGUUUGACUGGGGCGGUCUCCUCCUAAAGAGUAACGGAGGAGCACGAAGGUUGGCUAAUCCUGGUCGGACAUCAGGAGGUUAGUGCAAUGGCAUAAGCCAGCUUGACUGCGAGCGUGACGGCGCGAGCAGGUGCGAAAGCAGGUCAUAGUGAUCCGGUGGUUCUGAAUGGAAGGGCCAUCGCUCAACGGAUAAAAGGUACUCCGGGGAUAACAGGCUGAUACCGCCCAAGAGUUCAUAUCGACGGCGGUGUUUGGCACCUCGAUGUCGGCUCAUCACAUCCUGGGGCUGAAGUAGGUCCCAAGGGUAUGGCUGUUCGCCAUUUAAAGUGGUACGCGAGCUGGGUUUAGAACGUCGUGAGACAGUUCGGUCCCUAUCUGCCGUGGGCGCUGGAGAACUGAGGGGGGCUGCUCCUAGUACGAGAGGACCGGAGUGGACGCAUCACUGGUGUUCGGGUUGUCAUGCCAAUGGCACUGCCCGGUAGCUAAAUGCGGAAGAGAUAAGUGCUGAAAGCAUCUAAGCACGAAACUUGCC